Molecule: long non-coding RNA, 3839 nt
Organism: Ictalurus punctatus (channel catfish)
Lineage: Eukaryota; Metazoa; Chordata; Actinopteri; Siluriformes; Ictaluridae
Exons: 9
Source: RefSeq, a predicted model, not a curated record
UGUCAAGCGUCAAGUGAUCUGGUAUUUUUAAGGAUUUUUUUUUUUAAUAUGUAGGCUAUAUGGCCAUCAAGACGCAGUCACUUCACUUAUAACAGAGUAGAGCUCAUAUUGGUGUAUAAUAAGUCUGCGGUCCUCUCUGUCACCUCAAGACAAGCCCGGAGGAAGAAAUCAGACGGGAAUUACUAAUCUCACAACAGGUGUGAAAGAUCACGGACAUAAUGUGCAGAAUCAAGCACCGGCCUUCGGAUGAAAAGGAACACGUUCGCCACUGUCCCCAGCAGAACAGAAAGGAGGUAUUGGAUAUUGGAUUCUGCAGAAAAUAUUACAAUUCACAGUUGAAGACUGGAUUUGCCCAGAGUUUUCCUCCACUGGCAUGAUGUUUGUCAGAUGCUUAUAACUAUAUACCUGCCUGUGAUUGGCUCAUCUGUGUCUCAUCACCAGCAGGAAACGACUUCACUUCCUUUAAUAAUGACUUCAUACAGAAUUAUGUGCCGCCACAGUGUCUCUCGGUUUUAUGGCAUUCUUCUAUUGUAAAUGGUCCAGUUUAUUUUGAUGUCAUCAACACACACACACACACACACACACACACACACACACACACACACACACACACAGGUUUUGAGACAGACUGCUGUGUUCAAAACACUAUGUCCCAAAUGUCCACUAACGGCUGGCCUUAGGCACUGAAUAACCAGUGACUUAUCAAAAAAAAAGUAUAGUUUUAAAUGGAGGAACAAAUCCUAACUCAAUAUUCAGAUUUGACAUCAUAUAUUUCCUUCAGAUUGUGACAUGGACCAUCCUAUCUCGCGUUAUUAAAUGGUGUCACCUUUUAACUCCUGAUAUUCAGUCAAUUCAUGCUGUUCUGGGUGUUAAACAUUGAAUAGGUGUAGAACAGUUUCUGUUUUAAAUCCCUGAAAAUAGCCUAAUAUUUCAUGAAUGUAAUAUUUAUUUAUUUAUUUAUUUGUUUGUUUAUUUAUUUAUUUAUUUAUUUAUUUAUUUUUCAAUUAUGAAAUACAAUUAGUUCCUAGUAGUCUACACAUGCUUUUGGACACUAUAUAUAUCCUCUGUAUUUGUGAACUGACUAAACGUCCAUGCUCUUUGUGUUUACAUGUAGGCAGCUUGUUUUUCUGGCUGGCUUUUUAUGUCAAACAAAGGAAGUUGUUUCCGUAUGACUCCUCAUGCCACUCCUCAGAGCCUCUCUGUCUCUGUCAUCCACCGCAACAUAAAUCAGCGUUUGGAGUGCAGGAGUGCGUCUCGGAGCCGGAGAGGCCUGAGGCGCUCUCAUAGGAACAAUGCUGAGAUCAAAGCGCUGAGCUCUGACAGCCAAUGAGUGGCUUCCCGUGGCCGAAGGAGCAGAGCGAGGCUCACACCUGUACCAGGUGAUUACAGAUAACACAGAUAAUGAGGUUGGUCUAUUUGGUAGUUGAUCAGCUGCUGGACUGCCAAGGAAAUAUAUAGGAGGAUGAAGACUUGUGCAGGAAGGCAGGAAAGGGGAGAGAGAGAGGUUAACAAAGACACACUGUCAGACUGAAAGCCAUAAAGAGCUAACCGUGGCCCUGGUGGUCAGGCAGAUUAGUGUUACCAUCUGACUGAGUCAUGGCACCAAGUGCUGGAGUGCAGCGAAGCAGAAGUGGAGGGGUGAAGCAGCACAGACUGAGAGAGAGGAGCAGCCAUCUCUAAGAAAGGAGCUAAGACUCUGCAGGUAUUCCAGAGUGAGCCGUGUGCUCUUGGAGAAGGGCUUCAUUAUACCCAGAGUAAUGAAAUUCAGGCAUCGCAAAGAGGCGGCCAAGGGAGCGCUGUCACGGUGUGGAUGAGGGAACUCUCCAGUGAUCAGACAGGACUGGCAGUCCCACAGCAUAUAACAGCUCACCUCUGCAUUUCCACAGGGACAGAAAUUACUGCACAGUCCUGACAAGCAGUACUGAUCGUUGAUCUAAACAACACUGUUUUCCACCUGCUGCAUAUCCCCUGGACCUGCUUUACCAACCUUUUCUCUCUCUCUCUCUGUCUCUCUUUAUCAGAGCAGAUUUUCUUGGCGUCUGCAGGUUUCUCUAUCUGGAGAAUGCUGUAUUCAUUGCCAGCACUGCUCAGAUGCUGCUGUUACACUGAUAGUGUCAGACAAGUUAAAUAAUGUGUGAAAUUCUUUACAUAAGGACUGUUACACGGAUGAUGAGAGCACGGAUUGAGGCUUGCAUAUCUUCUUUCAUGGCUGGCGAGGUGUUGUGACCUUUUAACUGAGCUGGCCUGCUUUGAUAUGGCUGUGGCUUGUUCGUAUAGAGUGUCGAUUUUAUUUCUUACAGGGUUUCAGAUAGCCGAGAGCAAAAGCAUCGGAGCGUGUACUCAAAAGAACAUAAAAGAAUCACUACUGAGCUCUCCACUGUUCCUAAUAUGGUUAAUACUAUUAUUAAAAUGACAUAUACGGUGCAUUUGUAAAGGCAAAAGCAGUGUGAUUAAACAGGGCAAACACUUUUAUGAGCAGUGUAGUUUUCACUUAGGUAGUGAAUUAAAACGCUGGGAUCCUGAAGCCUAGCCAGUACAUUGCAUGGCACUGGACACGCAUUCACACACACAUUCGUGUAAUAAUGCUAUAUCUACACCUAAUCGUAUUAACUAAAAGAAAGAAUUUGAUACUUUUUAAGUUUUUAAAGCAUUUUUCUUAGAGGGGACUAUAGAAAUGUCCCCACAAGGUCAAAAUCGUUCAAAUUUUCCAAUUAUUAUUGAGGCAUUUGUGGGCAUCCAGCGAUAAAUUUCACAUACAUCAUAUUGUUCACAAUAAGAAUUACAUUUCACCAUUAAAAUAAGCUUUAUGUACAGUUGAAAUAAAAAUGUGAUGAGUGGCUCACAAACAUAUGUUGUUUUGAAACAGGGUCCUUUAACUAAAGUCUAACCACAGCUUUUAGAAGUUUCUCAGGCCCUAAUUGGUCUGUGCAGAUGUGUCUUCGUCCCGAGGGUAUGUGUCUUAACUGUUGUUCGUCUCAUCUGGUAGAUGUGCUGCCAUUGUGACACACCAUUUCAGCUUUCACGGGAAGUGCCCGAGGCGAAGAACAGCAUUUCCCAGAACGAUGUCACAAAACUGUGUGUGUGUGUGUGUGUGUGUGUGUGUGUGUGUGUGUGUGUGUGUGUGUGUGUGUGUGUGUGUGUGUUGGAAAGCUUCACCUGGCGCAGCAACAACAGGUUGACUGAUCCAGCUGCCUAACCUGCUCUUGGUGCAGGUACUUCUAAUAUGGCUACACUAAACACAUUCUACACAACUUGUUCCACACCUUACACAUGUUUUGACAUGUUUAUAGACUUUUGGCCAGCUGUGAAAUACAAGACGACAACAACAACAACAAAAAAAACUCCCAGACUCCCAGUUUAUGGCUUCUUAAAUGGGAAUACAGUUAUUAUACGUACUUAGUUAAACCAUAGCUAAGGGUUGCAUUAGCAUGUUAUCAGCAGUAGGACAUUGUAAUGAAUGUGUACACUAUUCAGGUCAGUCCCUGAGGGAAUGCAUGCCCUGCAGGUAUUUGCACUACAACACCUGUUCAUGCUAAUUUGCUCAUGUUCCCGCAAGGCAUUGUAACGAGGUUGUUUAAUUGGGUGUUGGAUGGUGUUAAGUGGGAGCAAACAUAUGAAUACAGGCUUCAAAUUGAAAAGCCUAAAAUUAAAUCCUAAUUAAUAUGUGUAGAACCCAAUUAAUACUUAGUGUCACUGAUAUUAAAAUUAAAGUCAGGUGAAAACACAAACAGAUUACUGUGAAACUGUAACUGAUUUAAUCACAUGAAAUUACUGGUGAGGUAAAACAGCAGUACAGGUUCAGAAAAGUCUGAAGCUUUAUUCAAUGCAUUACUGUUAUC